UUUCUGAUGAGAUUAAUUGGUCCGUGUUUAUGAAUUUAAUUGACUAUAACCAUCCAAUUACUGAUUUUU
Lutzomyia longipalpis is the source of this 69-nucleotide non-coding RNA. NCBI's taxonomy places the organism in Eukaryota, Metazoa, Arthropoda, Insecta, Diptera, Psychodidae. The record is from Rfam.